RNAcentral lists this ribosomal RNA (468 nucleotides) under uncultured bacterium. RNAcentral's name for it is "partial 16S ribosomal RNA". It matches the Rfam family "Bacterial small subunit ribosomal RNA", at positions 28 to 507 of the family's 1533-position model. The record is from RNAcentral.
GACGAACGCUGGCGGCGUGCUUAACACAUGCAAGUCGAACGGAAAGGCCCUGCUUUUGUGGGGUGCUCGAGUGGCGAACGGGUGAGUAACACGUGAGUAACCUGCCCUUGACUUUGGGAUAACUUCAGGAAACUGGGGCUAAUACCGGAUAGGAGCUCCUGCUGCAUUGUGGGGGUUGGAAAGUUUCGGCGGUUGGGGAUGGACGCGCGGCUUAUCAGCUUGUUGGUGGGGUAGUGGCUUACCAAGGCUUUGACGGGUAGCCGGCCUGAGAGGGUGACCGGCCACAUUGGGACUGAGAUACGGCCCAGACUCCUACGGGAGGCAGCAGUGGGGAAUAUUGCACAAUGGGCGGAAGCCUGAUGCAGCAACGCCGCGUGCGGGAUGACGGCCUUCGGGUUGUAAACCGCUUUCGCCUGUGACGAAGCGUGAGUGACGGUAAUGGGUAAAGAAGCACCGGCUAACUACGUG